Molecule: long non-coding RNA, 4718 nt
Filed under: Brassica napus (rape)
Lineage: Eukaryota; Viridiplantae; Streptophyta; Magnoliopsida; Brassicales; Brassicaceae
Description: long non-coding RNA (BNAP_LNC008396)
Source: RNAcentral
AGAAAAAGUCACUUGUCACAUUUUGAUAACCACCACAAGCGAGUAUAUAUAUGUGUGUGUAUUGUGCCUUUUAAUUAUCACAUCUUUUCAUUUUGUACUCUUUCAAGUACAAACUAUACUUUAUAUGUGAUUAAUAUACAUCCAAGCACAACUAUAACACAUAUACAUAAAUGAUUGUAUAUAACCAUUAUAGAAGAAUCAUUUAUAACUAACAAGGCAAGGAAGGAGGGUUAUCAAUACACCCAUAUUCUAAUACUUUUAUCGAAACCGAUCCAUCAUGGUAUCGUCUUUUAUAUUAGAAUAUAAAACAUUAAUACGAACUUGAACUUUAUAUUAAACCAAUAUACACAUAGGUCAUAUAAGAAUAUAAAAUAUUCUUACAUUCUCCCACUUGACCUUUGUCUUGCCUUAAGAGUUCAAUAACUUUAAUGUGCAAUUUUACAUCAAGUUCAUCUGGUCUUUACUAAAAUUAGAACUGAUUGAAUCAUGGCGGUUGUAUGUCAUUUAACCGGCAUAGUCCCUUCCAUGUAUCACAAACCAAUUCUAUUUUUAUAUAAUCCUUACAUGAGAAGAACCUUUAUUCUCAAAAACUUUUCUAUAUGUUAUCUAUGAACCUUAAAUGUAUACACGUACUUUAAUGAUAACAUAUUUAAUAAAUUAGAAACUUAACUUUAAUUGAAUUCCUAGGUGUCAAAUACUUAAUGAGCAUUCCAUAAAUAUAAUAGCAAGGCUUUAUCUAUGAUACCCAUACGCUCUAAAUGGCCAUUGAACGCCUUGGGUGGUAAAGCUUUAGUUUGCGGAUCCGCUAUCUUUAUAUCCUUUCUUAUGUGCUCAAAUGACACUCUAUGUUUCUAAACUUCUUCUUUAAUAGACAAGUACUCUAACUUAAUGUGCUUAGCACCCUUCCAAUACUUGUCAUCCUUUCAAAAGAAGACAGCUGCGAAUUUAUCACCAUAAUCUCUCAGCGGUUUGGCGUUAGUGUCGACAAUCCAAAGCCCUGAGAUAAAUUUCCGCAGGCUCCAUACAUGAAUUGUGGCUUCAAAACAUACCACAAAUCAACCUUAAUAGUGAAAGUAGCAAUGACAGACUACUUUCCACUUUCCUUUAAAUUGUUCCCACAAAUAAUAGAAACUAUACCUAAACGUUGAUUUAUGGUUCAAACUAGGUUUCUUUCCAUUCAUAGUUCGUAAGGGAUCUUAGGAACUUCCUAACUAGGAACCUGGUUCAGCACAUAUGUUGCAGUUCUUAAUGCAUAUAUAUACCCAUAACUAAAGAAGUAAAGAGCAAUUAUUUAACAUGCUUCUAACCAUCUCUAUUAUAGUACGAUUAUGCCUCUCUACUACACCAUUAUGCUAAAGAGUAUUGGACAUACUGUAUUGUGCACAAAUGCCUCUACUUUGAAGUAACUUUCCAUAGAGCUCACCUCCUCUAUCAGAUCUCACUACUUUUACUUUUCUAUCUAGCCGCCUUUCCAUCUUAUCAGUGAACACCUUUAGGACAUCCACAAAAUUAGACCUUUCAUGCAGUAGAUAAGUAUAUACAUACUGUGAGUAAUCAUCAAUAAAGAUGAUGAUGUCCUUUUCACCACUUCAUGAAGGAGCAUCGAAAGAGCCACAUAUUUGGUGUGUAUUAACCUAAGAAACUGAGUGCUUCUUGUGGCUGGUUUCGUUACAGUAUGUUUAGUCUGUUUUCCUUUAAUGCAGUCUAUACAUACAUGUAGGUCACUAAAUUCCAAUUGAGGAGGAAUUUCACUCUUCACCAACCUCAUUCUUUCUUUGGAUAUGUGACCUAGUCUUUGAUGCCACAAGAAACCGAAAUUUCAUUAUAUGUGCUAUGAUUAGUGCCUCUAAUUUCAACCACCAAGUAUUACUAGAAAUUUUAAUAAGACUCCUUUCAUAGCAAACAAGACUUUAAUGUUUACUUUCUUAUCAAAGCAAGCCUUCCUUUUAAGACAAUCCUACUUGAAAAGUCUCAUUUUAUUGCAAAAGAAACACUUCAUUUCAUUUCGGAUUUGACUUUUAAGUCCUUUCAGGAAAGACUAGUUAUUCCUUUUGUUCUUUCUACUUGGGAUUCUUUUGCUGCUACUGACACUUCCAAGACCUAUGAGGUUAGCAACUUGAUCUUUCAUCUUCCUUGAUCUACUCUCCUCUUGAAUAAACAUAGCUUUUAUUUCUUUAAUGUUUCAUUAUCUUUACUGGUGUUGUAAUUCACCUGAGAAACUGACUAAUCUCAAGAGGUAUAGAGCUCAUGAUAAAUUGGACCAGAAGCUGCUUGUGCACCUCCAUUUCCAAGGUCUUUAACUUUACAAUCGUAUUAGACAUGUGAGUCACAUGAUCACAGAUUAGUUGGGACCAGUUAACCAUUUUCAUAGUUAGCUCAUUUAUGAGACUUUCUACAUUCGGAGAUAUCUAUCGUAAUGGCUGAGGACUCUUCAUUUACUAUGGUGAAUUCACAUUCUAUUACACCUAGUGUAAACCAGAUCUUUUCGGACCAUUCACCAUAAUUGAGUUCAUUGAACUUAACGAUAGAGUUAGCAAAUGCAAACACAUUUGAUGAAGCUGCAAGCUUUUAUACAUGCUUACCCCUUACUGCUUUGAAACUUUAUUUCAGAUUCUAGACUUAAUAUAAACUUUUAAGUAUGUAUAUAAGUAACCUUUGGGCAAUACUUAAACACAAACACUUUCAAUGACGCUAAAAUACACUUUAAUAACUAAUCAUUUAAAACUCAAGUCAAAUGGUAUAUUACCUUUGGGUAUAUAUACUACCAACUAUAGUAAAAAAAUGACUAGUUCUUUUCAUAUUAUUAACUAUAUUCAAUGAUCCACCUUUGGGUAAUCUCCAAGAAUAUAGAAAAUAAAAUAAUUGAUCACUAAAACUUUAAUGUCAUUUAGCGUCUCUUUUAUCAUGAUCAAUUAUACUACUAUUAAUUUUAAUGUUUGUAAGUAAAUAACAUGAUCACUUUGGUGACUAACAUGUUAUAAACUAUACAAACAUCAAAAUAUUAAUAGGUAAAUUUAUCCUAAUAUUAUGCUAUAUUUCAUAACAUAAUUUUAUAUACUGUGUUAAUAUUUCAUAACACAAGUUACCUAUUAAUAAAAUGCAGCGAAAGCAUUUAAAAAAAAAAAUUACAACUUUAUAUAUACAAUAUUUUAAAUUAAUAAAAUAUUAUAUACCUCAUUUGUGUCACUAAAACUGUAAGGAACACUUGUUCCUUAGAUAAAACACAAUUAAAUUUCAAUCACUUAAAUGUAACAAGCGCUUCACAUUUACGGAUUUACUAACAAUAAUCUUUUAUUAAUCCACGCAUGCUUGUACAUAUCAAUUAAGUUAUCAUGCCAGUUACUAAUUCUUUUCUAAUCAUGCAAGCACACAUUCAUGCAACAACAUGCAUUAAUCAAUUAAACGAGCCAAUAUUUCCUUUCUAAUUAGGUGAAAGUCUUACCAUCACAACCCGUAAUAGUGACUUUUCACAAUAUUAUGGUAAUAACCGUCAUAAGGAAACUUUCAUGCAUGUGCCUUUACGUUUGUUACCGUAAAACCCAGGUUUCAUGUCGAACCUUUUAAACAAACGACCAUUAUGCACACAUGAAACAUCGUGAUUUUAAUGGAUUUAUUGCAAAAUCCAUUACGUAAAUGACUACGUUCAUUUCGUAACUUGAUCAACAACAACCCGUUUAACUUAGUGGCUGACAUAUAAAACCCUUUAUGGCAUCGUAAGAUUCCGUAAUUAAAAUAAUAAAACAAUCGUUCAUAGAUUGAUUUAGUGUGUCGUAUCGUUACGUUCGUUUACGAUGCCAUAUUCAUAUGCAUGAUCAUCAACGCACACUUUAACAAAUACCAUACGUUUAAGUGCAGUACGCUUAAUUACGAUGGAUUAUACUAAUCUCAUGAACACUCUUUAAAACGGAUGAACCCGUAUAUGUUCACAAGCACAUGAGAACUAAACCGAGAAUGUUCUUAACAUUUUCAAAUGCCUAAUGAGUGAAUUAAUUAAAUCUAAGAUGGCUCUGAUACCAAAUGUAAGAUUAACUUUUAUGAUUUCAAUUAUGAAAUCUAUUCCAAGACCAUAAUCUAGAUUUAGUUUUAAUUCAACCCUGGUAUGCUUCUUAGAGAAGAAGAAAGAAACACUAACCUUUAAUCCAUGCUUAAUGAAGAUAAAUUGAAAGCAAUGCACCAAUUGAUUUUCUCCUCCCUUUGGCCUCUAAUCCUUUAUGAUUCCCUUUGAUGGACAAAGGAAUCCAAAACCUCUUCUUAUCACGUUUUGUUCCCUUACGGUGGCUUAUACGUUUCUUACGUAACUGUUAUAGCGACACAAUCGUAACUCUUCUCUCAUAUAAGAAAAAGUCACUUGUCACAUUUUGAUAACCACCACAAGCGAGUAUAUAUAUGUGUGUGUAUUGUGCCUUUUAAUUAUCACAUCUUUUCAUUUUGUACUCUUUCAAGUACAAACUAUACUUUAUAUGUGAUUAAUAUACAUCCAAGCACAACUAUAACACAUAUACAUAAAUGAUUGUAUAUAACCAUUAUAGAAGAAUCAUUUAUAACUAACAAGGCAAGGAAGGAGGGUUAUCAAUACACCCAUAUUCUAAUACUUUUAUCGAAACCGAUCCAUCAUGGUAUCAUCUUUUAUAUUAGAAUAUAAAACAUUAAUACGAACUUGAACUUUAUAUUAAACCAAUAUACACAUAGGUCAUAUAAGAAUAUAAAAUAUUCUUACA